ACAAUGGAGAGUUUGAUCCUGGCUCAGGAUGAACGCUAGCUACAGGCUUAACACAUGCAAGUCGAGGGGAAACGACAUCGAAAGCUUGCUUUUGAUGGGCGUCGACCGGCGCACGGGUGAGUAACGCGUAUCCAACCUGCCCAUCACUUGGGGAUAACCUUGCGAAAGUAAGACUAAUACCCAAUGAUAUCUCAAGAAGACAUCUGAAUGAGAUUAAAGAUUUAUCGGUGAUGGAUGGGGAUGCGUCUGAUUAGCUUGUUGGCGGGGUAACGGCCCACCAAGGCGACGAUCAGUAGGGGUUCUGAGAGGAAGGUCCCCCACAUUGGAACUGAGACACGGUCCAGACUCCUACGGGAGGCAGCAGUGAGGAAUAUUGGUCAAUGGGCGAGAGCCUGAACCAGCCAAGUAGCGUGCAGGAUGACGGCCCUAUGGGUUGUAAACUGCUUUUAUAAGGGAAUAAAGUGAGUCUCGUGAGACUU
RNAcentral lists this ribosomal RNA (479 nucleotides) under Salmonella enterica subsp. enterica serovar Typhimurium. RNAcentral's name for it is "bacterial SSU rRNA". It matches the Rfam family "Bacterial small subunit ribosomal RNA", at positions 1 to 467 of the family's 1533-position model. The record is from RNAcentral. Lineage: Bacteria; Pseudomonadati; Pseudomonadota; Gammaproteobacteria; Enterobacterales; Enterobacteriaceae.